RNAcentral lists this ribosomal RNA (1115 nucleotides) under Fibla maclachlani. RNAcentral describes it as "eukaryotic LSU rRNA". The stretch from base 551 to 1115 matches the Rfam family "Eukaryotic large subunit ribosomal RNA", at positions 665 to 1138 of the family's 3401-position model. Lineage: Eukaryota; Metazoa; Arthropoda; Insecta; Raphidioptera; Inocelliidae. The record is from RNAcentral.
CCCGAAAGGUCGAAAGCGGAGAUUCAACUGUCUGUCGUGUGAUGUCCGGCGUGUUUGGGGCGAACGCGAGUUCAGUGAACUGAGACGAUGGUGCGCUUGCGCGUCUCCUCGGAGGCGGCGUACUGUUGCACUUCGCUCGGCCUCUACGCACGCGACCUGGCCGCGAAGGCAUGCACUUCUCCGUUAGUAGGACGUCGCGACCCGUUGGGGCGCCGGUCUAAGGCUUGUCGCGUAGACUGAUCUCGCGCGUUUACGCGCGCGGGACGCAGACCGACAUGUUUCCCGACCGUGCCCCCGACGGUAUAACCGAACGGACGGCGUUGGGUCGCUGCUAAAUUUAUUUUGGCGCGUUCCGUGCGAGCGCAAGUGCGUGCGCGUUUAUCGGCCUCGUGCCGUCGGCGGUCGGACCUGGUGCCGGCUCCGGACGCGCAUCACUGUUGGCGUUUCGUAACUCUCGAACGGGCCCGCGCUCGCGCGUUUCGGCGCGCGGCCACGCCGCGUCGGCGACGCUAUAGCUUUGGGUACUUUCAGGACCCGUCUUGAAACACGGACCAAGGAGUCUAGCAUGUGCGCGAGUCACUGAGUGCUCGACUAAACUCAAAGGCGAAAUGAAAGUGAAAGCGGCCGCGCGUUCCGGCGCGCGGUCGCCGAGGGAAGAUCGGUCGCGUGCGCUUUCGCGUCCGCGGCCGCGCAUUCCCGGGGCGUCUCGUUCUCAUCGCGAGAUGAGGCGCACCUAGAGCGUACACGCUGGGACCCGAAAGAUGGUGAACUAUGCCUGGUCAGGACGAAGUCAGGGGAAACCCUGAUGGAGGUCCGUAGCGAUUCUGACGUGCAAAUCGAUCGUCGGAACUGGGUAUAGGGGCGAAAGACUAAUCGAACCAUCUAGUAGCUGGUUCCCUCCGAAGUUUCCCUCAGGAUAGCUGGCGCUCGCGUUCGCGCGCGCUUCGGCGCGUGCGUUCACGAGUCUCAUCUGGUAAAGCGAAUGAUUAGAGGCCUUGGGGCCGAAACGACCUCAACCUAUUCUCAAACUUUAAAUGGGUGAGAUCUCCGGCUUGCUUGAACUAGUGAAGCCGCGAGACGAAUUAUGGAUCGAGAGUGCCAAGUGGGCCACUUUU